UGACAUCAUAGGAGAGGAUAAUGUUCGAUGCCACAUCAUGCUCAAGGGAGACUUUGAGGUCAAGGUGGACUUGGCAAGUGACACACUACGAGAUCUGAGACAGAAGCUCUCUGAUGAAAGUGGAAUCCCAGCACAUGUCCUCCAUUACAAACGUGAACUCGGUGGAGUUGGACAGACUUUGCUAGAUUGUGGAAUCAAUGAGGAGUCAACUGUGAGCUUUUCUUUGUCCUCCUUCCCUGAUGAGCGUCCAGACACUAAGGAAUUCUACUUCAAUGAUGUCGUACCCUCAGUGCAACAAUCCCAGAAAGGACUCAGUGCUUUCUUUUCUUCACUUUAUG
This is a long non-coding RNA of Salvelinus namaycush (lake trout), 338 nucleotides long. RefSeq lists it as uncharacterized. The record is from RefSeq and is a predicted model, not a curated record. NCBI's taxonomy places the organism in Eukaryota, Metazoa, Chordata, Actinopteri, Salmoniformes, Salmonidae. The transcript is spliced from 3 exons.